This 164-nucleotide ribosomal RNA is filed under the name uncultured bacterium. RNAcentral's name for it is "partial 16S rRNA". It matches the Rfam family "Bacterial small subunit ribosomal RNA", at positions 355 to 511 of the family's 1533-position model. The record is from RNAcentral.
UAGGGAAUCCUCCACAAUGGGCGAAAGCCUGAUGGAGCAACGCCGCGUGUGUGAUGAAGGGUUUCGGCUCGUAAAACACUGUUGUAAGAGAAGAAUGACAUUGAGAGUAACUGUUCAAUGUGUGACGGUAUCUUACCAGAAAGGAACGGCUAAAUACGUACCAG